RNAcentral lists this ribosomal RNA (578 nucleotides) under uncultured Hafnia sp. RNAcentral describes it as "bacterial SSU rRNA". It matches the Rfam family "Bacterial small subunit ribosomal RNA", at positions 102 to 676 of the family's 1533-position model. Lineage: Bacteria; Pseudomonadati; Pseudomonadota; Gammaproteobacteria; Enterobacterales; Hafniaceae. The record is from RNAcentral.
ACGGGUGAGUAAUGUCUGGGAAACUGCCUGAUGGAGGGGGAUAACUACUGGAAACGGUAGCUAAUACCGCAUGACGUCUUCGGACCAAAGUGGGGGACCUUCGGGCCUCACGCCAUCAGAUGUGCCCAGAUGGGAUUAGCUAGUAGGUGGGGUAAUGGCUCACCUAGGCGACGAUCUCUAGCUGGUCUGAGAGGAUGACCAGCCACACUGGAACUGAGACACGGUCCAGACUCCUACGGGAGGCAGCAGUGGGGAAUAUUGCACAAUGGGCGCAAGCCUGAUGCAGCCAUGCCGCGUGUAUGAAGAAGGCCUUCGGGUUGUAAAGUACUUUCAGCGAGGAGGAAGGCAUUGUGGUUAAUAACCACAGUGAUUGACGUUACUCGCAGAAGAAGCACCGGCUAACUCCGUGCCAGCAGCCGCGGUAAUACGGAGGGUGCAAGCGUUAAUCGGAAUUACUGGGCGUAAAGCGCACGCAGGCGGUUUGUUAAGUCAGAUGUGAAAUCCCCGAGCUUAACUUGGGAACUGCAUUUGAAACUGGCAAGCUAGAGUCUUGUAGAGGGGGGUAGAAUUCCAGGUGU